UGGCUUCACACAGCCAGAUGUCUACCCGGGUU
This 32-nucleotide non-coding RNA is filed under the name Mus musculus (house mouse). Lineage: Eukaryota; Metazoa; Chordata; Mammalia; Rodentia; Muridae. The record is from RNAcentral.